CCUACGGGAGGCAGCAGUGAGGAAUAUUGGUCAAUGGACGAGAGUCUGAACCAGCCAAGUAGCGUGAAGGAUGACUGCCCUAUGGGUUGUAAACUUCUUUUAUAUGGGAAUAAAAUGUUCCACGUGUGGGAUUUUGUAUGUACCAUAUGAAUAAGGAUCGGCUAACUCCGUGCCAGCAGCCGCGGUAAUACGGAGGAUCCGAGCGUUAUCCGGAUUUAUUGGGUUUAAAGGGAGCGUAGGUGGAUUGUUAAGUCAGUUGUGAAAGUUUGCGGCUCAACCGUAAAAUUGCAGUUGAAACUGGCAGUCUUGAGUACAGUAGAGGUGGGCGGAAGUCGUGGUGGAGCGGUGAAAUGCUUAGAUAUCACGAAGAACUCCGAUUGCGAAGGCAGUUCACUGGACUGCAACUGACACUGAGGCUCGAAAGUGUGGGUAUCAAACAGGAUUAGAUACCCGUGUAGUC
Molecule: ribosomal RNA, 460 nt
Filed under: uncultured bacterium
Lineage: Bacteria
Description: partial 16S ribosomal RNA
Rfam family: Bacterial small subunit ribosomal RNA
Source: RNAcentral